Parasteatoda tepidariorum (common house spider) is the source of this 73-nucleotide non-coding RNA. The record is from the annotation of a RefSeq genome assembly. Lineage: Eukaryota; Metazoa; Arthropoda; Arachnida; Araneae; Theridiidae.
GGUUCCGUGGUGUAGUGGUUAUCACAUUCGCUUCACACGCGAAAGGUCCUCAGUUCGAUCCUGGGAGGAAUCA